GACUUGUUAGCUCAGCUGGGAGAGCACCAUCUUGACAGGGUGGGGGUCGCAGGUUCGAGCCCUGCACAGGUCA
Molecule: transfer RNA, 73 nt
Filed under: Paenibacillus ehimensis
Lineage: Bacteria; Bacillati; Bacillota; Bacilli; Caryophanales; Paenibacillaceae
Also listed under: 6 other names
Description: tRNA-Val
Rfam family: tRNA
About the family: Transfer RNA (tRNA) molecules are approximately 80 nucleotides in length.
Source: RNAcentral